This 253-nucleotide ribosomal RNA is filed under the name uncultured bacterium. RNAcentral's name for it is "partial 16S ribosomal RNA". It matches the Rfam family "Bacterial small subunit ribosomal RNA", at positions 524 to 776 of the family's 1533-position model. The record is from RNAcentral.
UACGGGGGGGGCAAGCGUUGUUCGGAAUUACUGGGCGUAAAGGGCUCGUAGGUGGCCAACUAAGUCAGACGUGAAAUCCCUCGGCUUAACCGGGGAACUGCGUCUGAUACUGGAUGGCUUGAGUUUGGGAGAGGGAUGCAGAAUUCCAGGUGUAGCGGUGAAAUGCGUAGAUAUCUGGAGGAAUACCGGUGGCGAAGGCGGCAUCCUGGACCGACAUUGACGCUGAGGAGCGAAAGCUAGGGGAGCAAACGGG